RNAcentral lists this long non-coding RNA (555 nucleotides) under Sinocyclocheilus grahami. Its description in RNAcentral is "lncRNA (ENSSGRG00000044338.1)". Lineage: Eukaryota; Metazoa; Chordata; Actinopteri; Cypriniformes; Cyprinidae. The record is from RNAcentral.
ACAAGAGUAAACAAGCAUUCACAUAUGUACGAGUGGACUGUCUCUGCCUUAUACAGUAUCUGCUUCAACUGACAACAAAACAUCAUACACCUGGUUAAGUGUCUUUAAUGGGGAUAAUUUUGUGUUUUACAGAAACAUAAAACAUUAGGCAGUAUGUAAGAUACGGAGAGGACCAGCACCACAUGGCAUUCCACUGGAAGUGUGCAGCUGCCAAUUCCCACCAUGGAGUUAAAAAAAAGAGAACGCUACUAUUUCCCUUUUCAUUUUCUUUCUUUUUUUUUGACAUUCAAGCCUGUUUGUUAAUUGAUAAUGCAGUCUCUUUGUGUACAAGUACACAAUUAUUUGAAUGUUUUGUCAACUUUUGUUUGGUGAAACAGAGCUUGAGGCAGAGAAUAUGGAAGAAGAGGAGGAGGAUGCAGCUGCUGAGGAAGAGCAGCCUGAGGAGGACGUAGCAGAGGAAAUUAACCAAACAGAAGAACAAAUUGAAGUAGAGCCCACAGGUAAUCAAAUUUUGUCCAUUGAGAUUCAUUUUCAUCAUGGUUGAAAUUUUGAUCU